Molecule: long non-coding RNA, 276 nt
Organism: Corvus hawaiiensis (hawaiian crow)
Lineage: Eukaryota; Metazoa; Chordata; Aves; Passeriformes; Corvidae
Exons: 2
Source: RefSeq, a predicted model, not a curated record
GGCGGCGGCGGAGCGCGGAGGGGCGGCGCUGCCCGCGCCCUGCGGGGCCGGGCCGGACGUGUUCCCUGCCGGCGUGGGAUGGGGCCCUGCUAUGAGGAACAGAUGCAUGGACCUUCCUGGAUUUUUGGGACCAGGAAAAACCCGUCAGAGAGGAGGCGACGGCGUGGUCCCCUUGUGCCCGGCGCUGUCCCGCUGUUUGAUGUGGGACCCGGCCUCAGCGGCCCCGCCACGCUGGCUCCACGCUGUCAUCCCAAGUAAAUAAAGCCCAGCACAAUU